UAUCGCGUGUAUUUGACGCAAAUCAAUUAUCAUUCUGAUAGAAACUUUUCCACGCUCUGUAUAUACUGUGACAAAUAGGAUUUUCCUACCGUGACUUAAUGCUUACUCAGUACAGGUAUUCAAUUUCUCUCGUGCACAAUGACUUUUACCUUACGCCCACUAGACCGCAAUGAUUUCAAUACGGCAAUACAACAACGUAACCUAAACAGCGCUGGCUUUCUUGCCAUUGGGAAGCUCGUUGAGGCCGACGAUCGUAUUCGAUGACCACGGGAAACAUGCAAGACAUUAGUCGUAUCUGCUUUGGGGGCCGGUCACGUCGGCAACCUGCAUCGAAGGGUUGAAAGAUGCUAUGGACGCAAACAAGCUCAUUCUGUUUGUUUAUGUAUGUGCUAUAUUAAUGUGUUAUAUAGGAAACCGAAACAGGCGCGGGUGCGUGCGUAUUUCCUAGCACUGCCGCCUCUGACGCGCCGCUUGCCUUAGACAUUCGAUUCGUGCGCCACAUUUACAACCAUGUAAACAUGUGGACCAGUUAAUAAAGUGUUUGCGCUUAUGUAGUCGGUGCUAGAGUCGAGGAAAACCCAUCGAGAGAUAUGGGGGAGACUGUCUCUAUACUAUUCCACUGCUUCCUCGGAUCUAGUGUCAAUCCAGUGCAGACCUGUUGCCAACGCGUCUGUGUGACGCACCACAACUCGCAGUGAUAAUUGUUAUGCGAUUGACCUUCUUUUAUCUGCUCAUGCAAGCGGCUUUUCUACACGUUAUAGUAUAUAGGUACGUGUGUGUAUUGCUUCUGUCACUCCAGGGACUCUCAGGAUCGGCUCUUCGCAGAGUGCGCAGGUUUGAAGCCCGGGUACUUGAACCGUCGUGCGGCCUCCACCCGAUACCGUUUACGCUCAACUAUGGUUAACAUAUAUAGGUUGUACUUAAUACAAAUUUCUCUUUUUGAAUCAAUGCGAUGGCCAUCAUCUCCAUGCAUUGUUUUUCUACAACGACGUCAUGGAGGUUAUGUAAUGACCGUGUAGAUGUUGACCACGAGGCUGAUGAUGACGCGAUGCUUGAUCGUGUUGAAGAUAGGUCGAGGCCCCGGGUAACGAAAAGCAGAAUCUACUGGACUCGCGGUUUGGCCGGCACGUCGUUGCCCCUGAUGUUCCUAACCUGUGCGAGACAAUGCAACGGUUGAAAAAUUCAUCAGUGCGGAAAACGUUAAUCUUAACCCGAUUGAUAUACCGAGGACUAUAAUACAAGACUGCGUCGAUUCCUGAUGCCAAUCUUCCUUUAAUCG
This is a long non-coding RNA of Varroa destructor (honeybee mite), 1279 nucleotides long. RefSeq lists it as uncharacterized. The record is from RefSeq and is a predicted model, not a curated record. Lineage: Eukaryota; Metazoa; Arthropoda; Arachnida; Mesostigmata; Varroidae.